AUAGAUAUCCUGUUUAGAAAUCUGGUGUUUUAAUUAUCCAAAUAACGAAUUGUAAACGGAAACAUCUGCAGAUAUUGUGUCGGAGCAUAUAUCACGAUGUCAUUAAGUUUAUAUCUCAUCGUGAUUCGGUAAUUUUAUUUUAUUUUUUUUCCCUUUUGUUAAUAAUUAAGAUGAGAUAAAUAUCCAUAGAAACACAGAAUAAUUUGCGAUAAAAUAUUUUUCAUUCGACGUUCGAAAACACUUGUUGGCUUGGUGACAAAGUCGAGUGAAUUCGUCCAUCACGAGUUAUCGUCUAGAGGGCGUAUGCUGUUUUACUAUGCUAGUGAUGUUGUAGAGAACACAGCUUGUACUCCAGCAGCAUUGGGAUUUUGUGGCAAUCAUGGCUCAAGCUAAAGAUUCAGGUAACGAUCUUUAACUUUUAACUGUUUACAUCGAUGAAUACAUUCGUUUUAAAGCUAUCAAUUCACAGUUGCAUCCUUUUCGCGCUCGCUGUUUUGCAUAAAUUUUGCAUUGCGUUUUCAUUCUCUUGGUUCCAGAUUUAUGAGUGUUUCUUGAUGAAUUUUAAGUUUUGGGUUAUUUUUUUUUUCUUCUCGAUUUUCUGUUUUCUUAAACGUAUCGAUCUGCAUUUUUAUCGAAGUAUCGGUAAUGUUUAUCAUUGGGAGAUGGUAUUUGGAUCCGACCUUGGAUGAAAAACUUUAGAAUUCUAACUGGCAUCUGGGAUAAAUUCCAAAUAUAAACGGCUGGCUGUAUCCAUCAUUGAAAGAAAGUGUUAAAUUUCAUUCGACGAAACGUUUUGUAGAGAAUAAUUUAAGAAUUUUUCGAUAUCAAACUUUACGAUUGUGAGACGUAGAUCAAAGUCUGCAUUCUGUUAUCUUAUAAUUGUUCCUUCGAGUAUUAAAAACUUUAUUGCUAUCUACUUUUAAUCAGUCUUAUCAGCACGCUGACGACAAAAAUGCUCGCAAGUAGUAUUCGAUCGCCGGAAUUACUAGCAAAAAAUACUUUUUGAAUGUUUUGCUGGAAAACAUGAGCGUGCGAACGUAAGAUUCUACUUUGACUGUCUCACGUUUUCGCGACGCCGCUGGCAUAUAUUAAAUGAUGAUAAUAUAUGAUCAUAUGACAUAAUAUGCAUUAUAUAAUGAAAUAGAUGUUAAUAUCAUUCACAUGCGUAUUUAGCGUUUAUUUUAUCGAGCACGAAAUAAGUGUUCAGGCACUAACGCGCGCCGUAGCGCGACUUAUUAUUCAUAGACGCGUCGCGCUAGAAUCGCACGCGAAUACUCCUGGCAGUCAAAAUAGAAUCCUACCCGAACGGCGGCUUGAAAGCUUACGAUAUUUACUUUAAAUAGUUCUUACAUCUCGAUAUAUUUCAAUAAAUAAAUUAUAUUUAGACACGAUGAUUCGCUUAUUAAACUCGGAACGUUAAACUCGAUAAACAUGAUUCAAACAGUUAAUAUGCGAUGAUGAUGAUGACGAAAAGGUCGAUGUUAGGAAAGACUUGAUCGACUGUCAAAACUGUUUCACAAAAAUAAUUUGCAACAUCAGAACGCGAAUAUGAUACGACAUGAUCGCAGAUGAUAUAAAAUUUAUUCGCUUUUUAAAGAUUGAAUAACAGCAUCAAAACACAUGGCAACAUUCCAAUAAAAUAUUAAAAAUUAAUUUAUCCGUGCGAUCUUAUAGUCGUCGAUAAAUGUCAUGUCUCCAUCUUGAUCUCGUUUCCCAGUCCUCUAUUCUGACUUAUUAUAUAAAAUGUAAAACUGAGAUACUGACUACUGACUAGGUCGUCCUAAAAAAUAAUGUUAUUUGUAGCAUUAAGUUUUGAAAGGAUAUAAACCACUUGCUAAUUUAAUCAAGUAUACACUGCAUAGAAC
RNAcentral lists this long non-coding RNA (1865 nucleotides) under Androctonus crassicauda. Lineage: Eukaryota; Metazoa; Arthropoda; Arachnida; Scorpiones; Buthidae. The record is from RNAcentral.